GACGGCUCAGCGGGAUGCGAAGCCCUCUCCAUCAUCUGCUGCUCUUUGAUUCGAUCCAUCCUUUUUAUUCUCUUGUUCUCAUCUAUUUUUCCUUGAGUUUGUAGUUCGAUUUUGAUCUGCGAUCAUUCUAGUUCUUCGGUUUCUGCUUCGGACCACGGAUUUCCCCAUUUUAUGAGGGUUUCGAUCGUCUGCCGCUGGAUCCGGCGGUUGAAUGAUCGAUUCCGGAUUUUGAUGACGCCCUCUGAAGUCGCAUGCGUGGUUGACAACGAGAGAGAGCACGCCGGUCCGCAAUCAUGCGGGCGGCCAUGGUUGUGUGUACCAGCGUGCUCUUUCUCGUCGUCACCUGGCUCGCUCGCCCUCGCGACGAAGCGUGUUCUGUGUCUAGAAGCCCUCUAGGUUAGUUCUUAUCACUUCGAUCCUUGGUUGUUCACUAGAAUCGGUUUGCUUUCAGUUUGAUUUAGGCGAAGUUGAGAACUUACAUGCUGCCGCUUUAUGCUUCUUCUUAUGCUCGCAUACAUUCUAUGUUGAAGCUAGUAGAUAUCUUGAUGAAUCGUUUGAGCUUCAUUCUUUCUCUAGAAAAGGUGCCAUUUUCUUCACUCUAUUACUAGUGAAAGCUCUACUUUAUAGUUCUAUAGAUACAAUGUAGCUGAAUGAAAGCAUGAUUAACUGACCUGGUGCCCAACGAUGUUGAUGCUUAUUUCCAAUUAGUGUACAAGUUGUAGCGAAGAUCCAUCUGUCAUGUUUCCCUUUUCGGAACCAAGAGAAGAUAUGCAAAUGAAUUGGAUGAGGUGAACAUAGCGUGAGGAAUAUCCAAGGCACAUAAACUUAUCAAUAAAAUUUCGAAUUCUAUGUUCUUUAACAUACGGGAGAAUCCCCAUCUUUACCAACUUUUUCUUUGUGCUGCACUUUAAUGGUGUUUGUCCUAGUAACGGAUUAAUGACACUGCAGUAGCAGAAUAGUCUCCAAUUCAUGUUGUUGUGUUAUAGCUGUUAAUACUGUUGCGCUAGUUUGGGUUUAAAAGAUUGUAUUGGCAAUUUUAAUAAAGUUUCUUCCUGCCUCGUAUUUCUCCUUGAAUUUGAAGUCAAAUGAGUUUCUUUUGGUUCUAGAUUUGUCAGAGAUUCUUCCCUAUUGCAUACAACAACUGUGAACCAUACAUAUGCCUGCCUCUAUUCCUGUUGGAUGAAUAAGCUUGAAGGCAUUGUGCCUGCAACUUGUCUUGUGUAUACACAUCGCAGGAAGGAUGUAAUUUGUAUUCUGCAAAAAAGUACACACAGCUUGAAACUUCCAAGGAUUGAGGCUCUUUUGAAUUUGUAUUUUUCUCAUAUACUUCAAUUAUAUAAAUUGACUAUUUCAUUUUUACGAUUCAUUUCCUAGCCUUUUUAACCUAUGCCUUGUCUGUUUGUUUUAGUAUGUUGAAGAGGUAAGUCAGAAUGUCACUUAUACAGUGGUAAAAUGGUACACUGUCGGCAUCAUUAUUUAGCCAACUUUUUGUGUCUUGGCGUUUUAUUCGUAGGCUGAUCUAUUGUGGCUUGGCUUCUUCUCUACAAGCUGGACUUUUUCUCCACUAUAACGUAAUCACUGCUGUUGGUUUGAAUUGAAGGAAAGAAGAGAGAGUUGUGUUAAAUCUAUCAUGCCAGGAGAAUGUAAUCAAUAAAUUUUCAUCUUCAGGGCAAGCCAGCACAUUGUCUUGUUACCUGGGCAAGAACUUCAUCUUCUGACUGUUUUUGGGAAAAGGUUUGCCUCUGAUCUGGACUUUUUGGUUCACUGUGAUGUGAAUGGGAUUGGAUGUAAUCUCUCUUUUUUAUCAUCUUAAUAUAAUUUUCACCUUUUUGGAAAUUAUAUCAUAUUUACAAGAAAACAAAUAAGUUUUCAUGUAGGAAAUGAAUAUAAAAUAUGAUACAAAUUAUGUAAAGAGAGGCAGGUGUUUGAACCAUGUUUCUUUGCCCAUGCUCUCUUCUCCUAUCUUUCUCUUAUUGUUGUGCCAGUAUGAUUUCUUGUAUCAGAUGAUUUGUAUAACGUUUUCUUUUACAGGUUAUAACCUGAACUUGUCA
Molecule: long non-coding RNA, 2051 nt
Organism: Musa acuminata AAA Group (dessert banana)
Lineage: Eukaryota; Viridiplantae; Streptophyta; Magnoliopsida; Zingiberales; Musaceae
Exons: 2
Source: RefSeq, a predicted model, not a curated record